UUAUUAUUUUGAGAUAAAUUCCAUCAAUACUUCGUUUAUUGAGAGUUUUUCGCAUGAAGGGCUGUUGAAUUUUGACGAAAGCCUUUUCUGCAUCUAUUGAGAUAAUCAUGUGUUUUUUUUUCCAUUGGUUCUGUUCAUGUGAUGCAUUAUGUUUAUUGAUUUGUGCAUGUUGAACCAGCCUUGAUAUGCUGCUGGAUUCGUUUGCCAGUGUUUUAUUGAGGAUUUUCGCAUCGAUGUUCAUCAGGGAUACUGGCCUAAAAUUCUCUUUUUUGGUUGUGUCUGUACCAGGCUUCGGUAUCAGGAUGAUGCUAGCCUCAUAAAAUGAUUCAGCGAGGAUUCCCUCUAUUUCUAUUUAUUCAAAUAGUUUCAGAAGGAAUGGUACCAGCUCCUCUUUGUAUCUCUGGUAGAAAUAGGCUGUGACUCCAUCUGGUCCUGGACUUCUUUUGCCUAGAGAACAUCGUUCCAAAUGAAGAAAUGCUUCUGGGAAACAUGAUUUGAUUGAAGUGGAAGUUAAGACUGCCACUCAACCAUUUUGGAUGUCCCUUACUUCUGAAUCAACAAAGAUGGGGGUUACAUCAUGGCUGGGUGGUUGGAGUACUUGUCUACAAAGAGGUCAUUAAUCAUCAUAUGUAUUCUACCUCAUCCAAUUACGAAAAGCUUUUCCUGGAUUGAGUACAGAGCAGGUAAAGUUGAACAAUGUUGCUUGCUCUAGUAUUUAUUAACAUGACACCAUCUGUUCUUAAACAGUA
This 749-nucleotide long non-coding RNA is filed under the name Papio anubis (olive baboon). RNAcentral describes it as "lncRNA (ENSPANG00000042845.1)". The record is from RNAcentral. Lineage: Eukaryota; Metazoa; Chordata; Mammalia; Primates; Cercopithecidae.